RNAcentral lists this ribosomal RNA (467 nucleotides) under uncultured bacterium. RNAcentral describes it as "partial 16S ribosomal RNA". It matches the Rfam family "Bacterial small subunit ribosomal RNA", at positions 28 to 507 of the family's 1533-position model. The record is from RNAcentral.
GAUGAACGCUGGCGGCGUGCUUAACACAUGCAAGUCGAACGGAAAGGCCCAAGCUUGCUUGGGUACUCGAGUGGCGAACGGGUGAGUAACACGUGGGUGAUCUGCCCUGCACUUCGGGAUAAGCCUGGGAAACUGGGUCUAAUACCGGAUAGGACCACAUUUUGGAUGGUGUGGUGGAAAGUUUUUCGGUGUGGGAUGAGCUCGCGGCCUAUCAGCUUGUUGGUGGGGUAAUGGCCUACCAAGGCGUCGACGGGUAGCCGGCCUGAGAGGGUGUACGGCCACAUUGGGACGGAGUUACGGCCCAGACUCCUACGGGAGGCAGCAGUGGGGAAUAUUGCACAAUGGGCGCAAGCCUGAUGCAGCGACGCCGCGUGGGGGAUGACGGCCUUCGGGUUGUAAACUCCUUUCGCUAGGGACGAAGCGUUUUUGUGACGGUACCUGGAGAAGAAGCACCGGCUAACUACGUG